AGAGUUUGAUCCUGGCUCAGAGCGAACGCUGGCGGCGUGCUUAACACAUGCAAGUCGAGUGCGCGUUCCGUAGCAAUACGGGAUGGCGCACGGCGCACGGGUGCGUAACACGUGGGUAAUCUGCCCUCCGAUGGGGAAUAACCCCGCGAAAGCGGGGCUAAUUCCGCAUAACAUUCCGGGAACUCCGGUUUCUGGAUUCAAAGGCGUAAGUCGUCGGAGGAGGAGCCCGCGCACGAUUAGCUAGUUGGUAGGGUAAUGGCCUACCAAGGCUUUGAUCGUUAGCUGGUCUGAGAGGAUGGCCAGCCACACUGGAACUGAGACACGGUCCAGACUCCUACGGGAGGCAGCAGUGGGGAAUCUUGCACAAUGGGCGAAAGCCUGAUGCAGCGACGCCGCGUGGGGGAUGAAGCAUUUCGGUGUGUAAACCCCUUUCGAUCCGGACGAAUACCUCGCAAGAGGGGUGACGGUACGGAUAUAAGAAGCCCCGGCUAACUACGUGCCAGCAGCCGCGGUAAGACGUAGGGGGCCAGCGUUGUUCGGAAUUACUGGGUGUAAAGGGUUCGUAGGCGGUGUGGCAAGUUGGGAGUGAAAUCUCUGGGCUCAACCCAGAGGCUGCUUCCAAAACUGCUGUGCUUGAGUGUGAGAGAGGCUCGUGGAAUUGCAGGUGUAGCGGUGAAAUGCGUAGAUAUCUGCAGGAACACCCGUGGCGAAAGCGGCGAGCUGGAUCACUACUGACGCUGAGGAACGAAAGCUAGGGGAGCAAACAGGAUUAGAUACCCUGGUAGUCCUAGCCCUAAACGAUCAGGACUUGGGGUGCCACCCGUUCGGGUGUCGUCCCGGAGCUAACGCGUUAAGUCCUGCACCUGGGGAGUACGGUCGCAAGACUGAAACUCAAAGGAAUUGACGG
RNAcentral lists this ribosomal RNA (907 nucleotides) under uncultured bacterium. RNAcentral's name for it is "bacterial SSU rRNA". It matches the Rfam family "Bacterial small subunit ribosomal RNA", at positions 8 to 916 of the family's 1533-position model. The record is from RNAcentral.